GAGUUUGAUCAUGGCUCAGGAUGAACGCUAGCGGCAGGCUUAACACAUGCAAGUCGAGGGGUAGUUACUUUCGGGUAAUGAGACCGGCGCACGGGUGCGUAACGCGUAUGCAAUCUACCUUUUACAGGGGAAUAGCCCAGAGAAAUUUGGAUUAAUGCCCCAUGGUAUUAUAGAGUGGCAUCACUUUAUAAUUAAAGUUCCAACGGUAAAAGAUGAGCAUGCGUCCCAUUAGUUAGUUGGUAAGGUGACGGCUUACCAAGACGAUGAUGGGUAGGGGUCCUGAGAGGGAGAUCCCCCACACUGGUACUGAGACACGGACCAGACUCCUACGGGGGGCAGCAGUGAGGAAUAUUGGACAAUGGGCGCAAGCCUGAUCCAGCCAUGCCGCGUGCAGGAAGAAGCAUCUAUGGUGUGUAAACUGCUUUUAUACAGGAAGAAACACUCCCUCGUGAGGGAGCUUGACGGUACUGUAAGAAUAAGGACCGGCUAACUCCGUGCCAGCAGCCGCGGUAAUACGGAGGGUCCAAGCGUUAUC
RNAcentral lists this ribosomal RNA (535 nucleotides) under uncultured bacterium. Its description in RNAcentral is "bacterial SSU rRNA". It matches the Rfam family "Bacterial small subunit ribosomal RNA", at positions 9 to 545 of the family's 1533-position model. The record is from RNAcentral.